UAAAGAAAGCAUAAUAGCUCACUGGUCGAGUCGGCCUGCGCGGAAGAUGUAACGGGGCUAAACCAUGCACCGAAGCUGCGGCAGCGACACUGUGUGUUGUUGGGUAGGGGAGCGUUCUGUAAGCCUGCGAAGGUGGCCUGUGAGGGUUGCUGGAGGUAUCAGAAGUGCGAAUGCUGACAUAAGUAACGAUAAAGCGGGUGAAAAGCCCGCUCGCCGGAAGAC
RNAcentral lists this ribosomal RNA (222 nucleotides) under Salmonella enterica subsp. enterica serovar Mbandaka. Its description in RNAcentral is "partial 23S ribosomal RNA". It matches the Rfam family "Bacterial large subunit ribosomal RNA", at positions 1124 to 1345 of the family's 2925-position model. Lineage: Bacteria; Pseudomonadati; Pseudomonadota; Gammaproteobacteria; Enterobacterales; Enterobacteriaceae. The record is from RNAcentral.